CUACGGGAGGCAGCAGUGGGGAAUAUUGCACAAUGGGCGCAAGCCUGAUGCAGCCAUGCCGCGUGUAUGAAGAAGGCCUUCGGGUUGUAAAGUACUUUCAGCGGGGAGGAAGGGAGUAAAGUUAAUACCUUUGCUCAUUGACGUUACCCGCAGAAGAAGCACCGGCUAACUCCGUGCCAGCAGCCGCGGUAAUACGGAGAGUGCAAGCGUUAAUCGGAAUUACUGGGCGUAAAGGCGCACGCAGGCGGUUUGUUAAGUCAGAGGUGAAAUCCCCGGGCUCAACCUGGGAACUGCAUCUGAUACUGGCAAGCUUGAGUCUCGUAGAGGGGGGUAGAAUUCCAGGUGUAGCGGUGAAAUGCGUAGAGAUCUGGAGGAAUACCGGUGGCGAAGGCGGCCCCCUGGACGAAGACUGACGCUCAGGUGCGAAAGCGUGGGGAGCGAACAGGAUUAGAUACCCCCGUAGUC
RNAcentral lists this ribosomal RNA (465 nucleotides) under uncultured bacterium. RNAcentral describes it as "partial 16S ribosomal RNA". It matches the Rfam family "Bacterial small subunit ribosomal RNA", at positions 339 to 795 of the family's 1533-position model. The record is from RNAcentral.